This is a long non-coding RNA of Pipra filicauda (Wire-tailed manakin), 181 nucleotides long. RefSeq lists it as uncharacterized. The record is from RefSeq and is a predicted model, not a curated record. The transcript is spliced from 3 exons. Lineage: Eukaryota; Metazoa; Chordata; Aves; Passeriformes; Pipridae.
CAGAAAAUCAGAGACCCCGGUUGCAGAAGCUAUUCUGCAAGGGACAGCAUCUUCAUCCAAACAGGAAGAAAGUUCAUGGAGAGAGAAUCGCAAAAGCCACAGCACCUCUCACAUGGGGCUGAAGACAUGUUUGCAAAGACACUUAAUUAGAGAUGCAACAGAUAGUUCUGUGCAAAGAGCU